UGUGUCAUGUUAGUGAAAAGCUGAAA
This 26-nucleotide non-coding RNA is filed under the name Homo sapiens (human). Lineage: Eukaryota; Metazoa; Chordata; Mammalia; Primates; Hominidae. The record is from RNAcentral.